AUUGAACGCUGGCGGCAUGCUUUACACAUGCAAGUCGAACGGCAGCGCGGGCUUCGGCCUGGCGGCGAGUGGCGAACGGGUGAGUAAUGCAUCGGAACGUGCCCAGUAGUGGGGGAUAGCCCGGCGAAAGCCGGAUUAAUACCGCAUACGACCUGAGGGUGAAAGCGGGGGACCGAAAGGCCUCGCGCUAUUGGAGCGGCCGAUGUCGGAUUAGCUAGUUGGUGGGGUAAAGGCUUACCAAGGCGACGAUCCGUAGCUGGUCUGAGAGGACGACCAGCCACACUGGGACUGAGACACGGCCCAGACUCCUACGGGAGGCAGCAGUGGGGAAUUUUGGACAAGGGGGGCAACCCUGAUCCAGCCAUGCCGCGUGCGGGAAGAAGGCCUUCGGGUUGUAAACCGCUUUUGUUCGGGAAGAAAUCCUCUGGGCUAAUACCCCGGGGGGAUGACGGUACCGGAAGAAUAAGCACCGGCUAACUACGG
This 483-nucleotide ribosomal RNA is filed under the name uncultured bacterium. RNAcentral's name for it is "partial 16S ribosomal RNA". It matches the Rfam family "Bacterial small subunit ribosomal RNA", at positions 28 to 506 of the family's 1533-position model. The record is from RNAcentral.